ACAACCCAGGUGUCUUUCUUAAAUGGCCCGACCCUAUGUUUUCGCUUGCCAGUUCACUACAGCGAAACACAAUUACACAACAGCCAAACAAGUAGCACUGUAGCAGUGGUUUUCUUCAAUCUUCGCAGCGACUCAUAGUCAGUCACAUACAAAGACUUCUCUUCUUUCUUUCUUUUCGCUUCAGUUUCUUUCUUUCACACGCAGAUUUGAGAUUUCUACUACCGUCUUAUUUCUGGUCUCUUUCUAGAUUGGAAUUUUCAGUAAUGGCGAAGAUUGGCAAGAUAGUGCUUGACUCUGGGUGGCUUGCGGCCAGAUCAACGGAGGUGCAACUCACUGGGACGCAACUAACAACCACUCAUCCUCCUAGUGGGCCUACCUCGCCUUGGAUGGAAGCUGAUGUCCCCGGAACUGUUUUGGGAACCCUUGUAAAGAACAAAGUGGUGCCUGAUCCUUUCUACGGAUUGGAAAACGAAACAAUCAUAGAUAUAGCUGAUUCUGGGAGGGAGUAUUAUACAUUUUGGUUCUUCACCACUUUUGAGCGUAAGCUGUCAGGAAAUCAACACCUGGUGCUGAAUUUUCGUGCAAUCAAUUACUCUGCUGAAGUAUAUUUAAAUGGACACCAGAAGGUGUUGCCAAAAGGGAUGUUUCGAAGACAUUCUCUUGAUGUUACUGAUAUUCUAAAUCCUGAAGGUCAAAAUUUGCUGGCUGUUCUUGUUCAUCCUCCAGAUCAUCCUGGGAAAAUUCCUCCUGAGGGGGGGCAGGGCGGUGAUCAUGAGGUAUAUAAGCAUUAUUGCAAGAUUCAUUUCAUUCUAUGCUUUAUGCUUUUCUUGUUUCUAAUAUCUUUCCAGAAAUGCAGAGAUAUAUCUGGAUUUUGGGUGAAUGCAUUAUUGGCUGAAAGUAAGUCUAUAAUUAACUGCAAACUGAACGUGCUACCUAACAUCCUGUUCUUUUCCCCUUUCUUUCAGAUUGGAAAAGAUGUUGCUACACAAUACGUUCAGGGUUGGGAUUGGAUAGCUCCUAUAAGGUGGCAAGCCAUUACUUUUGAAACUAAAGAGUGUAAACCUUAGUUUUUUGAUUCCCCAUAUAAUUCCAGUCUCUAUAUGGUUGGUUAAAAUGACAACAGUUUUGUUAUUAGAGUUGGUUAUAGAACAUAAGCACUGUUUUUGAAGUUCAUGAUGAUGAGGCAAAACCAAUUUACUCAACCUUAUGCUGUUUUUUUUUCUCCUUUGGUUCAACCUUAAAGUAUGGGUAUUCAUCCAUUUGCUUACUUAAUUAACGCAUACCUUGGAGGUCUAAUGUGCAGUCAUUACUAUGUCAGGGAUAGGAACACUGGCAUAUGGGAUGAGGUAUCAAUUUAUGUUACUGGGGUGAGUUCAAUGAUACAUCCUGAAACUACUUUCUUGAUCUUUAACAAUGGUCUUUAUAUCUUUAUGGUAUUUCAUAAUUCAUAUUACUGGGCUAUCAGAUUUUUUUGAGCUUAUUUUUACUUGUAAGUAUUUGUUUUCUUUGCAAUAGUUUCUGGGCCACCUGAUACAGUGAUACUUCUUGAAGUACCUGAAAGAAUAUUUUUUUGUUGUUGCUAAUUAUAGAUCACACACGAGCUCAAUCCUAUCAUUUCUUUAGACUUAAUUGUAAUCUCAUUCAAUUCAGAGUCAAAUCUAAGACUUUGGCACUUGAUGGUGGUUAAUAUGAUUUUGUAAUAGUUAGAAUUUUACAUAUUGCGACAUUUCAAUUUGUGCAGCCAGUGAAAAUUAUAGAUCCCCAUUUAGUUUCAACAUUUUUUGAUGGAUACAAGAGGGUAUAUUUGCAUGCUACAACUGAGUUGGAAAACAAAGGUGCCUGGGUUGCUGAAUGUAAUUUGAAUAUCCAAGUAUCAUUAGAGCUUGAAGGAAGCAUUUGCUUAGUUGAGCAUCUUCAGACACAACAUGUGUCAAUCCCAGCUGGAAAAAGUGUUCAAUAUACAUUUCCUGAGCUUUUUUUUCUACAAGCCCAAUUUAUGGUGGCCAAAUGGUAUGGGAAAGCAAUCCAUGUAUAAUGUUAUUAUUACUGUUGAUGUGGGGGAAUAUGGGGAGUCUGACUCAUGGAGCCAUCUGUUUGGAUUCCGUAAAAUUGAGAGCUACAUUGAUAGCAGAACUGGUGGGAGGUAUUGCUAUGUGACAUUUAGCAACCGAUUAGUGUUAUCUGUUCAAGUUUCUACCCUUAGCUUCUGCAACUAGUUUUAUAACCCAUGCAUUCUCAUAGGUUGUUCAAGGUCAAUGGGCAGCCUAUUUUUAUUCGUGGUGGUAAUUGGAUAUUGUCAGAUGGGUUACUGCGGCUUUCCAAAAAACGUUACAGAACAGACAUAAAGUUCCAUGCAGAUAUGAAUUUUAACAUGAUCCGGUGCUGGGGUGGUGGAUUAGCUGAGAGGCCAGAAUUCUAUCAUUACUGUGACAUUUAUGGUUUACUGGUAUGGCAAGAGUUCUGGAUUACUGGAGAUGUUGAUGGAAGAGGUGUACCAGUAUCAAAUCCAGAUGGUCCACUUGACCAUGACCUUUUUCUGCUAUGUGCUAGAGACACUGUCAAGCUUCUCAGAAACCAUCCUAGUCUUGCUCUUUGGGUGGGUGGAAAUGAACAAGUUCCACCACCCGACAUCAAUGAUGCUUUAAAGAAUGAUCUAAAACUUCAUCCCUUUUUUGUGAUCUCUGAAGAAACUGGCAAGUCUAUGGAAGACUUGUCUUUGCAAUCAGUCGAUCCUAGCCAAUAUCUAGAUGGCACACGUGUUUAUAUUCAAGGAUCCAUGUGGGAUGGCUUUGCAAAUGGAAAGGGGGACUUCACUGAUGGCCCCUAUGAAAUCCAAGAUCCUGAAAGCUUCUUUAGGGAUGAUUUUUACAAGUAUGGAUUCAAUCCUGAGGUUGGUUCUGUGGGAAUGCCAGUUGCUGCUACAAUCAGAGCAACGAUGCCUCCAGAAGGGUGGCAAAUUCCAUUUUUUAGGAAGCUUCCCAAUGGUUAUGUAAAAGAAGUUGCAAACCCUAUAUGGGAAUACCAUAAAUAUAUUCCUUAUUCAAAACCAGGCAAGGUUCAUGAUCAGAUCUUGUUGUAUGGGACACCAACAGAUCUUGAUGAUUUUUGUUUGAAGGCUCAGCUUGCAAACUACAUUCAGUAUAGAGCUUUAGUGGAGGGCUAUACUUCUCAUAUGUGGGGAAAACACACUGGUUUCUUAAUUUGGAAGACUCAGAAUCCUUGGACAGGUUUGAGAGGCCAGUUUUAUGAUCAUCUUCUUGACCAGACUGCAGGUUUCUAUGGUUGUCGUUGUGCUGCUGAGCCAAUCCAUGUCCAGCUGAAUCUAGCUACAUAUUUUAUUGAGGUUGUUAAUACCCAGUCGGCAGAACUCUCUGAUGUAGCCAUCGAAGCAUCAGUAUGGGAUCUAUCAGGAACCUGCCCAUAUUAUAAAGUUUUUGACAAACUCUCUGUUCCACCAAAGAAAAUAGUGUCCAUUGGUGAGAUGAACUAUCCGAAAUCUAAAAAGCCCAAGCCACUCUACUUUCUUCUUCUCAAGCUUUACAAUAUGUCAGAUUACAGCAUUAUAUCUAGGAACUUCUACUGGUUGCAUCUGCCUGGUGGAGAUUACAAGCUGUUGGAGGCAUACAGGAAGAGAAAAGUUCCCCUCAAGAUAACAUCAAGGACUUUUAUUAAAGGAUCCACUUAUGAAAUGGAAAUGCAUGUGAAGAAUACCUCUAAGAAACCAGAUUCUAAAUGCUUUACUUAUAAGAAUAAUUUCAUUACCAGACUGGGUGAUGAUGAUUUUGACAUGGCCUCUCUGGAACCUGUAAACAUUGGAACCAAAGAAAAAGAUGAAGUUGGUUUAUUUCAAAGGAUCUGCAGGCAUUUCUCACGGGAAACUGAUGGUCUCAGGGUUGCUGAAAUUAAUGGUACUGAAGAAGGAGUUGCUUUUUUCCUUCAUUUCUCUGUACAUGCAUCGAAGACAGAGCACAAGGAAGGGGAAGACACAAGAAUUCUUCCUGUUCAUUACUCGGACAACUAUUUUUCACUUGUGCCAGGCGAGGUGAUGCCCAUCAAGAUAUCUUUUGAGGUUCCUCCAGGCGUUACCCCACGGAUAACACUUCACGGCUGGAAUUAUCAUGGAGGGCAUGCUGUUUUCUGAGCUCAGCUCCAGUAGUUACUCUCCAUCGAUCAUUGGCCCCCUUGAUCAAUCUCCUUCGUGGUUAGAAAUUCAGAGGUGGUUUCAUUAAUGUUUAAAUUGAUUCGACUUCUGGGGUCAUAAUUGUGUCAUUUACAAUGCCAGAAACAUCUGCUAGUUAGAUGUUUCUCAUAGUGAUACCAAAAUAAAGCAUGUUACCAUUCCAGGCAUCAUCCACACCCUUCUUUUUUUAUUAUUAUUUUAUUUAUUUAUUUUUAUUUCCUGUUGUUUGAUAGUUCCUUAUGUAGCCCAACUUUUUAUUUGUAAACAACUGCGAUGAAGAACUGUAUUUAGCAUUUGAGGUACUUUUCUUGGUUCUGUAAUAUAUCUGAUCAUUUCUGGUUAAAUAGACACAUUAACAAGCAA
This 4543-nucleotide unclassified non-coding RNA is filed under the name Hevea brasiliensis (rubber tree). The record is from RNAcentral. Lineage: Eukaryota; Viridiplantae; Streptophyta; Magnoliopsida; Malpighiales; Euphorbiaceae.